UGCCCACUGAUAAUUUAUUAAAGGGCUGCAGUAAUUUGACUGUACAAAGGUAGCAUAAUCAUUAGUCAUUUAAUUGAUGACUUGUAUGAAGGAUUGGAUGAAAUAUAAACUGUCUUAAAUAUAAAUUAUAUAAUUUAAUUUUUUAGUUAAAAAGCUAAAAUAUUUUAAAAAGACGAGAAGACCCUAUAGAGUUUUAUUUUUAUUUUAUUAAAAGUUAUUUAUAAAUUUAAUAAUAUUUAUUUAAAUAAAAGUUUUGUUGGGGUGAUAGAAAAAUUGAAUUAACUUUUUUUUAAAAAAAAAUUAACAUAAAUAAGUGAAUAAAUGAUCCAGUUUUACUGAUAAUAAGAAAAAAUUACCUUAGGGAUAACAGCGUAAUUUUGAUUUUUAGUUCAUAUAAAAAUUAAAGUUUGCGACCUCGAUGUUGGAUUAAGAUAAAAUUUAAAUGCAGAAGUUUAAAGUUUUGA
RNAcentral lists this ribosomal RNA (464 nucleotides) under Leucoma sericea. RNAcentral describes it as "partial large subunit ribosomal RNA". Lineage: Eukaryota; Metazoa; Arthropoda; Insecta; Lepidoptera; Erebidae. The record is from RNAcentral.